GACGAACGCUGGCGGCGUGCUUAACACAUGCAAGUCGAUCGGUAACAGGUGUAGCAAUACAUGCUGACGAGAGGCGGACGGGUGAGUAAUGCUUGGGAAUCUGCCUAUUGGUGGGGGACAACCCGGGGAAACUCGGGCUAAUACCGCAUACGCUCUACGGAGGAAAGCCGGGGACCGCAAGGCCUGGCGCUAAUAGAUGAGCCCAAGUCGGAUUAGCUAGUUGGUAGGGUAACGGCCACCAAGGCGACAAUCCGUAGCUGGUCUGAGAGGACGACCAGCCACACCGGAACUGAGACACGGUCCGGACUCCUACGGGAGGCAGCAGUGGGGAAUAUUGGACAAUGGGGGCAACCCUGAUCCAGCGACGCCGCGUGGGUGAAGAAGG
Molecule: ribosomal RNA, 385 nt
Filed under: uncultured bacterium
Lineage: Bacteria
Description: bacterial SSU rRNA
Rfam family: Bacterial small subunit ribosomal RNA
Source: RNAcentral